AUGUUAAUUUGGAACAUCGCUACUGAUUACUGCAGUAUGAUUCCCCCUACCGGGGAGGCGGAGCAUGCUAAUGCAACAUCUGAAAAUGGACAAGACGCAAAGUUCAACAAGAAUGUUUCAGUCAGCCUAUCAAGAUAUUGUGCAUACUUGAUGAACUCUGCCCCAGAAUUGCUUCCAGGAUACUUCGGAGAUACAAAGUUGGCCAUGGCUGAUGUAAAACGCGAAGCCUACAAAGCUCUAAGACCCCAGGAUGAUUCUUCCAGAUCAGGCUUAAUAUUAAUAUUCCAGAAUUUUUUUUAUUUUCUCGAGAUUGUACCCGAGAUCGCUGCAUCCCAGAAUAUUUACCAGCUUAUGAAUGGCUUACAAGACCGAGAGGAAGACAGGAGCAUCUUCAUGAGAGGUGUGAAGCUUGGCAAGCAGCUAGAGGCCAUACCGAGCAGUGCUCUGCGCUGGAAGAUAAUGGCGGAUUUCUGGGCUGAGAAGAUCCUCUACAUCGCACCAUCAGACAAUGUGAAAGGGCACAUGGAACUUCUCGCAAAGGGGGGAGAGUUUCUCACCCACAUCUGGGUCCUCCUUACUCAUGCUGGCAUCCUCAAGAUUAACAGGGAGGAAGGCAACAACACCACGCCCAGGCGCCAACCAUCCCAAGGAGAUGUCUAG
This 660-nucleotide ribosomal RNA is filed under the name Triticum aestivum (bread wheat). RNAcentral describes it as "partial small subunit ribosomal RNA". Lineage: Eukaryota; Viridiplantae; Streptophyta; Magnoliopsida; Poales; Poaceae. The record is from RNAcentral.